GACGAACGCUGGCGGCGUGCUUAACACAUGCAAGUCGAACGGGGCGAAGUGAUAGCUUGCUAUUAUGGAGCCUAGUGGCAAACGGGUGAGUAACGCGUAGGCAACCUGCCCUUCAGAUGGGGACAACACCUCGAAAGGGGUGCUAAUACCGAAUGAUGUUUCCUAGUCGCAUGACCUGGAAACCAAGGCCGGGCAACCGGUCACUGAAGGAUGGGCCGUGCGUCUGAUUAGCUAGUUGGUGGGGUUAACGGGCCCACCAAGGCGACGAUCAGUAGCCGGUCUGAGAGGAUGAACGGCCACAUUGGGACUGAGUACACGGCCCAAACUCCUACGGGAGCAGCAGUGGGGAAUCUUCCGCAAAUGGGCGCAAGCCUGACGGAGCAACGCCGCGUGAGUG
This 397-nucleotide ribosomal RNA is filed under the name uncultured bacterium. Its description in RNAcentral is "bacterial SSU rRNA". It matches the Rfam family "Bacterial small subunit ribosomal RNA", at positions 28 to 407 of the family's 1533-position model. The record is from RNAcentral.